GAUAAUUCAAUGAUGUGAUUGGCAGGAUCAUGACCAUUAGUUAACAGUUGAAUGUCUUUGGCCAUAGUACACUGACAGGCAAUUGAUUGGUAUGAUCAUGACCAUUGGUUUUAUAGUUGAAUAUCUUUGUCCCGUAGUGCAAAGAUAUACAACUGAUUGGUAUGAUCAUUAUUAUUACAUUUGAAUAUCUUUAGCCUUUG
RNAcentral lists this long non-coding RNA (200 nucleotides) under Panax ginseng (ginseng). RNAcentral's name for it is "long non-coding RNA (PGIN_LNC001662)". The record is from RNAcentral. Lineage: Eukaryota; Viridiplantae; Streptophyta; Magnoliopsida; Apiales; Araliaceae.